This is a small nucleolar RNA of Hibiscus syriacus, 107 nucleotides long. The record is from RefSeq and is a predicted model, not a curated record. Lineage: Eukaryota; Viridiplantae; Streptophyta; Magnoliopsida; Malvales; Malvaceae.
AAUCCAUGCAUAGGGAACUUUCAAAGUAGCUCCUUGAAAUGCUCCCAAGCUUCGUAUAGAUUUUCUUCUUCAAGUUGCUUAAAAGAGGUGAGGCCAUUCCUCAGCUU